AUGCACGCUGGCGGCGUGCCUCAUACAUGCCAGUCGAGCGCACAGACGAGGAGCUUGCUCCUCUGACGUUAGCGGCGGACGGGUGGGUAACACGUGGAUAACCUACCUAUAAGACUGGGAUAACUUCGGGAAACCGGAGCUAAUACCGGAUAAUAUAUUGAACCGCAUGGUUCAAUAGUGAAAGACGGUUUUGCUGUCACUUAUAGAUGGAUCCGCGCCGCAUUAGCUAGUUGGUAAGGUAACGGCUUACCAAGGCAACGAUGCGUAGCCGACCUGAGAGGGUGAUCGGCCACACUGGAACUGAGACACGGUCCAGACUCCUACGGGAGGCAGCAGUAGGGAAUCUUCCGCAAUGGGCGAAAGCCUGACGGAGCAACGCCGCGUGAGUGAUGAAGGUCUUCGGAUCGUAAAACUCUGUUAUUAGGGAAGAACAAAUGUGUAAGUAACUAUGCACGUCUUGACGGUACCUAAUCAGAAAGCCACGGCUAACUACGUG
This 496-nucleotide ribosomal RNA is filed under the name uncultured bacterium. RNAcentral describes it as "partial 16S ribosomal RNA". It matches the Rfam family "Bacterial small subunit ribosomal RNA", at positions 29 to 507 of the family's 1533-position model. The record is from RNAcentral.